UCGGAUGCUUUUGCUAGAAAACAUAUUGUCUCAUCAGAGCUUAGUUGACCAAGAUCCACUAUGUAGACAUUUCCUUCUCUUAUUCCGGUCAACUUUACGGCAGAUGUCUUCAAAUCUCUGACUUGACACUGAUUGUUGAGAAAUGUUACUUAUUGACCCUUGUCGCAGAGUUGGCUGAUACUUAGAAGGUUGUGUUGGAGUCCUUCCACAUAAGCUACUUUGCUGAAAGAUACUGCACCAUUUCCAGCAGAGCCAUAUCCUCUUGUUUGCCCGAGCCGUUAUCUCCA
Molecule: long non-coding RNA, 287 nt
Filed under: Panax ginseng (ginseng)
Lineage: Eukaryota; Viridiplantae; Streptophyta; Magnoliopsida; Apiales; Araliaceae
Description: long non-coding RNA (PGIN_LNC012463)
Source: RNAcentral